UGAGGAAUAUUGGUCAAUGGCCGAGAGGCUGAACCAGCCAAGUCGCGUGAAGGAAGAAGGAUCUAUGGUUUGUAAACUUCUUUUAUAGGGGAAUAAAGUGGAGGACGUGUCCUUUUUUGUAUGUACCCUAUGAAUAAGCAUCGGCUAACUCCGUGCCAGCAGCCGCGGUAAUACGGAGGAUGCGAGCGUUAUCCGGAUUUAUUGGGUUUAAAGGGUGCGUAGGUGGUGAUUUAAGUCAGCGGUGAAAGUUUGUGGCUCAACCAUAAAAUUGCCGUUGAAACUGGGUUACUUGAGUGUGUUUGAGGUAGGCGGAAUGCGUGGUGUAGCGGUGAAAUGCAUAGAUAUCACGCAGAACUCCGAUUGCGAAGGCAGCUUACUAAACCAUAACUGACACUGAAGCACGAAAGCGUGGGGAUCAAACAGGAUUAGAUACCCUGGUAGUCCACGCAGUAAACGAUGAUUACUAGGAGUUUGCGAUACAAUGUAAGCUCUACAGCGAAAGCGUUAAGUAAUCCACCUGGGGAGUACGCCGGCAACGGUGAAACUCAAAGGAAUUGACGGGGGCCCGCACAAGCGGAGGAACAUGUGGUUUAAUUCGAUGAUACGCGAGGAACCUUACCCGGGUUUGAACGUAGUCUGACCGGAGUGGAAACACUUUUUCUAGCAAUAGCAGAUUACGAGGUGCUGCAUAGUUGUCGUCAGCUCGUGCCGUGAGGUGUCGGCUUAAGUGCCAUAACGAGCGCAACCCUUAUCACUAGUUACUAACAGGUGAAGCUGAGGACUCUGGUGAGACUGCCAGCGUAAGCUGUGAGGAAGGUGGGGAUGACGUCAAAUCAGCACGGCCCUUACAUCCGGGGCGACACACGUGUUACAAUGGCAUGGACAAAGGGCAGCUACCUGGCGACAGGAUGCUAAUCUCCAAACCAUGUCUCAGUUCGGAUCGGAGUCUGCAACUCGACUCCGUGAAGCUGGAUUCGCUAGUAAUCGCGCAUCAGCCAUGGCGCGGUGAAUACGUUCCC
This 1019-nucleotide ribosomal RNA is filed under the name uncultured bacterium. RNAcentral's name for it is "bacterial SSU rRNA". It matches the Rfam family "Bacterial small subunit ribosomal RNA", at positions 355 to 1375 of the family's 1533-position model. The record is from RNAcentral.